This 65-nucleotide transfer RNA is filed under the name Macrocheraia grandis grandis. Its description in RNAcentral is "tRNA-Arg". Lineage: Eukaryota; Metazoa; Arthropoda; Insecta; Hemiptera; Largidae. The record is from RNAcentral. RNAcentral also lists the same sequence under 1 other name.
AAGUAAAAAGUAAAAUCUUACAUUUAGUUUCGACCUAAAAUUAGGGAAUAAUAACCCUUUACUUA